ACACAUGCAAGUCGAGCGGUAGCACAGAGAGCUUGCUCUCGGGUGACGAGCGGCGGACGGGUGAGUAAUGUCUGGGAAACUGCCUGAUGGAGGGGGAUAACUACUGGAAACGGUAGCUAAUACCGCAUAACGUCGCAAGACCAAAGUGGGGGACCUUCGGGCCUCAUGCCAUCAGAUGUGCCCAGAUGGGAUUAGCUAGUAGGUGGGGUAACGGCUCACCUAGGCGACGAUCCCUAGCUGGUCUGAGAGGAUGACCAGCCACACUGGAACUGAGACACGGUCCAGACUCCUACGGGAGGCAGCAGUGGGGAAUAUUGCACAAUGGGCGCAAGCCUGAUGCAGCCAUGCCGCGUGUGUGAAGAAGGCCUUCGGGUUGUAAAGCACUUUCAGCGGGGAGGAAGGCGGUGAGGUUAAUAACCUUGUCGAUUGACGUUACCCGCAGAAGAAGCACCGGCUAACUCCGUGCCAGCAGCCGCGGUAAUACGGAGGGUGCAAGCGUUAAUCGGAAUUACUGGGCGUAAAGCGCACGCAGGCGGUCUGUCAAGUCGGAUGUGAAAUCCCCGGGCUCAACCUGGGAACUGCAUUCGAAACUGGCAGGCUAGAGUCUUGUAGAGGGGGGUAGAAUUCCAGGUGUAGCGGUGAAAUGCGUAGAGAUCUGGAGGAAUACCGGUGGCGAAGGCGGCCCCCUGGACAAAGACUGACGCUCAGGUGCGAAAGCGUGGGGAGCAAACAGGAUUAGAUACCCUGGUAGUCCACGCCGUAAACGAUGUCGAUUUGGAGGUUGUGCCCUUGAGGCGUGGCUUCCGGAGCUAACGCGUUAAAUCGACCGCCUGGGGAGUACGGCCGCAAGGUUAAAACUCAAAUGAAUUGACGGGGGCCCGCACAAGCGGUGGAGCAUGUGGUUUAAUUCGAUGCAACGCGAAGAACCUUACCUGGUCUUGACAUCCACAGAACUUAGCAGAGAUGCUUUGGUGCCUUCGGGAACUGUGAGACAGGUGCUGCAUGGCUGUCGUCAGCUCGUGUUGUGAAAUGUUGGGUUAAGUCCCGCAACGAGCGCAACCCUUAUCCUUUGUUGCCAGCGGUCCGGCCGGGAACUCAAAGGAGACUGCCAGUGAUAAACUGGAGGAAGGUGGGGAUGACGUCAAGUCAUCAUGGCCCUUACGACCAGGGCUACACACGUGCUACAAUGGCAUAUACAAAGAGAAGCGACCUCGCGAGAGCAAGCGGACCUCAUAAAGUAUGUCGUAGUCCGGAUUGGAGUCUGCAACUCGACUCCAUGAAGUCGGAAUCGCUAGUAAUCGUAGAUCAGAAUGCUACGGUGAAUACGUUCCCGGGCCUUGUACACACCGCCCGUCACACCAUGGGAGUGGGUUGCAAAAGAAGUAGGUAGCUUAACCUUCGGGAGGGCGCU
This 1411-nucleotide ribosomal RNA is filed under the name Klebsiella pneumoniae. RNAcentral describes it as "bacterial SSU rRNA". It matches the Rfam family "Bacterial small subunit ribosomal RNA". The record is from RNAcentral. Lineage: Bacteria; Pseudomonadati; Pseudomonadota; Gammaproteobacteria; Enterobacterales; Enterobacteriaceae.